Molecule: ribosomal RNA, 275 nt
Filed under: uncultured bacterium
Lineage: Bacteria
Description: partial 16S ribosomal RNA
Rfam family: Bacterial small subunit ribosomal RNA
Source: RNAcentral
CCUACGGGUGGCUGCAGUGGGGAAUAUUGGACAAUGGGCGCAAGCCUGAUCCAGCCAUGCCGCGUGAAUGAUGAAGGCCUUCGGGUUGUAAAGUUCUUUUAGUGGAGAAAAUAAUGAUGGUAUCCGCAGAAAAAGCCCCGGCUAACUUCGUGCCAGCAGCCGCGGUAAUACGAAGGGGGCUAGCGUUGUUCGGAAUUACUGGGCGUAAAGCGUUUGUAGGCGGUUAGAUAAGUCAGAUGUGAAAGCCUGGGGCUUAACCUCAGAAUUGCAUUUGA